Molecule: long non-coding RNA, 439 nt
Organism: Drosophila sechellia
Lineage: Eukaryota; Metazoa; Arthropoda; Insecta; Diptera; Drosophilidae
Exons: 3
Source: RefSeq, a predicted model, not a curated record
CAAUAACAAGCAAAGUUUAAACCAAUUUGCAAUGUAGCUUUUGCAUAAAUAAUUGACGGAAUAAAUGGCUUCGCUCCGGCGUAAUUAGCCGGAAUUCAUGGAAUAGAAUCCCUUCACCAAAAGAUGACAACGCGGGCGAGGCCAAAAGUCAAAUACCAGGGCCAAAUGCACGCACAGCACAGAAGAAACGCAGGUGAAGGCGAUGCGAUGGCAAAAGGCAAAGGCGUGUGCCAUCUAAAAUUUAUAAAAAUCAAAGUAAGCACUGCGAGCGCAAGGAGAAGAACUUUCUGAUGACCGACACUGAAUUUGCGAGCAAUUCUUGAAAUCUUAAAGCUUAACUGCAUACUAAUCUAUCCCAUAACUAACUAUUCUACCAAAUGUUUCCCUUUAAAUACCCAAUGAGAAUUUGAAUAGAUAUCUCCUAGUUAGUUAAACAAAA